UCAGAAACAGUAAAACUUAUUCACAACUCAAUUCAUCCUGCCAAUUCAAUCACUUCCAACCACUUCUUUCAAUCAAAAACUGCAUAAUGAUAUUUCUCAACCUUAAAUCUCAGCAUCAAUAAUCCUAGCAAGUGGAAAAACAACCAAAUUCAGCCAAUUUCAGCAAAGAACAUAAACAGAACAGCAUAAAUCAGUUUCAACCUCACAGGAAGUGUUUGCACUCAUAUUCACUCAAGUGUUUAAGGCUAUCCUGUUUCACUCAGUCAUGACAUGUCAACCUCUAUUCUUAACUUUGAAAGGACUCUAAGUGACCAUGCUCAGCUCUUUGGUUUCAUCUAGAUCAAAAGGACUUUGUUGGCUUGUAAUGUCAUGGUAUGAAGGCUUAGAAAAAAAACGCAAGGCUAUAUGGAAAUGAAGAAACUUUGAAAAAGAAAGAAGAACUCAGAACUCAGUGCAUUGUUUUUGAUAUAUUGGCCAGUCCCAUUUUUUUUCUUUCUCUGGUUUUCAACUUUUUCAGGUCUCAGUUUUCUUUCAAUUCUUUUUCCUUUUUUUUUUCUCUAUUUCAGACCUGCUCUUUUCUCUCUCUCUCUUUUUUUCAACACAACCAGAUUGCUCUUCUUAUUUUUCUUUUCUUUUUCUUGGCCUUUCUUUUUCUUUUUUGCACUCACUAAGUUCCUAGAUCCUCCAUCCCUCUCACAUGUCUCUACAGGUCAGGUAUUUGGUGGGAAAAUGGCUUGUACUGAAUGGAAACAAAGAAAAUGGCUAAGGCUCAAAGUUAAGGUACAAUGGUCAGAACUGAAAUGAUAAAACUAAAUGGUUAUGGAUGGUAAGAAACAAUGCCUAAAUCAUGUCUAGAGUCCAUCGAGAGCAAGCUUUUCACAAAGAAUCAAUGCAAAAUCAGAAUGAAAAUUAAACAUGCAUGAAAUCACACAAGAAAGAAAAAAAUUGGCCCAAGAUCUCUCCAGGUUAAUCAUUUUGCUAAAACUGACUUGCUACCUUCUUUUAUGCAAAAAUGCUUAAUUAAACUGAACUCAGAUGAAAAAAUCAAAGCUAGGACUACUUCUACUUGAAAUUAAAGCAAAGAAUUACAUUAACAGUUCUAAUUAAGAGAAAUAAAACUGAGAAAUGAGUAAAAUGAGCAAAGAAUUGAGAAAGAAAUGAAAUAGAACUCAAAAAGAAUGACCUGAACUAUAUACAACCUGUAAAAACCAAAACUGGACAGAAUGCAACCUAAAAAGAGCCUACCAAACUAAAACAGAUUUAUGUUCAAAAGAAAGAAAGCCUAAGACAAUCCUAAACAGUAACAAUGAAUGGAAAGAACCUAGGAAGCUAUUUCUAAAAAACAAAACACAAUGUUCAGAACAAAAUUUAUUAUGAAAACUGAAUCAGGAAAAUGAAAUUAGAGAAGUAAACAGAUCCUAUAAAAGAAAGAAUUCUAAAGCAAAUGCAAAUGUACAAAGGCUAAAACAUAAUGUGAAAACUAAGACAAUUACUAAUAUUUAAAACAAGAAUUAAGAAAGCUAAAAUAAGACUGUUGAUACGUGAAACUGAACUUAAAGAAGCUAAAACAGAUCAGGAAUAGAAUAAAAGAAAUCCUUCAAGCAACUAUAAACUGAAACAAAAAAAC
Molecule: long non-coding RNA, 1627 nt
Filed under: Vigna radiata
Lineage: Eukaryota; Viridiplantae; Streptophyta; Magnoliopsida; Fabales; Fabaceae
Description: long non-coding RNA (VRAD_LNC008864)
Source: RNAcentral